GUAACAGAGGGUCUGAUUCUGGCUCAGAUUGAACGCUGGCGGGAUGCUUUACACAUGCAAGUCGAACGGCAGCACGGACUUCGGUCUGGUGGCGAGUGGCGAACGGGUGAGUAAUGUAUCGGAACGUGCCUAGUAGCGGGGAUAACUACGUGAAAGCGGUAGCUAAUACCGUAUACGCCCUUCGGGGAAAGCGGGGGACCUUCGGGCCUCGCACUAUUAGAGCGGCCGAUAUCGGAUUAGCUUAAGUUGGUGGGGUAACGGCUCACUGCGACGAUCCGUAGCUGGUUUGAGAGGACGACCAGCCACACUGGGACUGAGACACGGCCCAGACUCCUACGGGAGGCAGCAGUGGGGAAUUUUGGACAAUGGGGAAACCCUGAUCCAGCCAUCCUGCGUGCGCGAUGAAGGCCUUCGGGUUGUAAAGCACUUUUGGCAGGAAAGAAACGGCACGGGAUAAUACCCCGUGCAACUGACGGUACCUGCAGAAUAAGCACCGGCUAACCACGUGCCAGCAGCCGCGGUAAUACGUAGGGUGCAAGCGUUAAUCGGAAUUACUGGGCGUAAAAGCGUGCGCAGGCGGUUCGGAAAGAAAGAUGUGAAAUCCCAGAGCUUAACUUUGGAACUGCAUUUUUAACUACCGAGCUAGAGUGUGUCAGAGGGGAGGUGGAAUUCCGCGUGUAGCAGUGAAAUGCGUAGAUAUGCGGAGGAACACCGAUGGCGAAGGCAGCCUCCUGGGAUAACACUGACGCUCAUGCACGAAAGCGUGGGGAGCAAACAGAUUAGAUACUCCUGGUAGUCCACGCCCUAAAACGAUGUCAACUAGCUGUUGGGGCCUUCGGGCCUUGGUAGCGCAGCUAACGCGGUGAAGUUGACCGCCUGGGGAGUACGGUCGCAAGAUUAAAAACUCAAAGGAAUUGACGGGACCCGCACAAGCGGUGGAUGAUGUGGAUUAAUUCGAUGCAACGCGAAAAACCUUACCUACCCUUGACAUGUCUGAAUCCCGAAGAGAUUUGGGAGUGCUCGCAAGAGAACCGGAACACAGGUGCUGCAUGGCUGUCGUCAGCUCGUGUCGUGAGAUGUUGGGUUAAGUCCCGCAACGAGCGCAACCCUGUCAUUAGUUGCUACGAAAGGGCACUCUAAUGAGACUGCCGGUGACAAACCGGAGGAAGGUGGGGAUGACGUCAAGUCCUCAUGGCCCUUAUGGGUAGGGCUUCACACGUCAUACAAUGGUCGGGACAGGGUCGCCAACCCGCGAGGGGGAGCCAAUCCCAGAAACCCGAUCGUAGUCCGGAUCGCAGUCUGCAACCUCGACUGCGUGAAGUCGGAGUCGCUAGUAAUCGCGGAUCAGCAUGUCGCGGUGAAUACGUUCCGGUCUUGUACACACCGCCCGUCACACCAUGGGAGUGGGUUUUACCAGAAGUAGUUAGCCUAACCGUAAGGAGGGCGAUUACCACGGUAGGAUUCAUGACUGGGGUGAAGUCGUAACAAGGUAA
Molecule: ribosomal RNA, 1493 nt
Filed under: uncultured Bordetella sp.
Lineage: Bacteria; Pseudomonadati; Pseudomonadota; Betaproteobacteria; Burkholderiales; Alcaligenaceae
Description: partial 16S-23S ribosomal RNA intergenic spacer
Rfam family: Bacterial small subunit ribosomal RNA
Source: RNAcentral